Molecule: transfer RNA, 69 nt
Filed under: Hexanchus griseus
Lineage: Eukaryota; Metazoa; Chordata; Chondrichthyes; Hexanchiformes; Hexanchidae
Description: tRNA-Met
Source: RNAcentral
AGCUAAUUAAGCUUUUGGGCCCAUACCCCAACCAUGUUGGUUAAAAUCCUUCCUAUGCUAAUGAAUCCU